GACGUAGGGCGCGAGCGUUGUCCGGAUUGAUUGGGCGUAAAGAGCUCGUAGGCGGCUCGUUGCGUCGGCUGUGAAAACCCGCAGCUCAACUGUGGGCCUGCAGCUGAUACGGGCGGGCUGGAGUUCGGUAGGGGAGACUGGAAUUCCUGGUGUAGCGGUGAAAUGCGCAGAUAUCAGGAGGAACACCGGUGGCGAAGGCGGGUCUCUGGGCCAUUACUGACGCUGAGGAGCGAAAGCGUGGGGAGCGAACAGG
RNAcentral lists this ribosomal RNA (253 nucleotides) under uncultured bacterium. Its description in RNAcentral is "partial 16S ribosomal RNA". It matches the Rfam family "Bacterial small subunit ribosomal RNA", at positions 524 to 776 of the family's 1533-position model. The record is from RNAcentral.